GCGACUGUAGUAUAUCGGUAGUACAUCAGCUUCCCAAGCUGAGGAGGCGGGUCCGACUCCCGUCAGUCGCU
This 71-nucleotide transfer RNA is filed under the name Lachnospiraceae bacterium. Its description in RNAcentral is "tRNA-Gly". It matches the Rfam family "tRNA". Rfam says of the family: Transfer RNA (tRNA) molecules are approximately 80 nucleotides in length. Their secondary structure includes four short double-helical elements and three loops (D, anti-codon, and T loops). The record is from RNAcentral. Lineage: Bacteria; Bacillati; Bacillota; Clostridia; Lachnospirales; Lachnospiraceae.